GGAGGGGUGUCGGAGCCCGGUUGAACGAGCCGCACUCGAAAUGCGGUAGGCGGGUAACCGCCUCGUGGGUUCGAAUCCCACCCCCUCCGCCA
RNAcentral lists this transfer RNA (92 nucleotides) under Bacillota bacterium. RNAcentral's name for it is "tRNA-Ser". It matches the Rfam family "tRNA". Rfam says of the family: Transfer RNA (tRNA) molecules are approximately 80 nucleotides in length. Lineage: Bacteria; Bacillati; Bacillota. The record is from RNAcentral.